GAUGAACGCUGGCGGCGUGCUUAACACAUGCAAGUCGAACGGAAAGGCCGAAGCUUGCUUCGGUACUCGAGUGGCGAACGGGUGAGUAACACGUGGGUGAUCUGCCCUGUACUUCGGGAUAAGCUUGGGAAACUGGGUCUAAUACCGGAUAUGACGAUCUCUUGGAUGGGGUUGUGGAAAGCUUUUGCGGUAUGGGAUGAGCUCGCGGCCUAUCAGCUUGUUGGUGGGGUAAUGGCCUACCAAGGCGUCGACGGGUAGCCGGCCUGAGAGGGUGUACGGCCACAUUGGGCCUGAGAUACGGCCCAGACUCCUACGGGAGGCAGCAGUGGGGAAUAUUGCACAAUGGGCGCAAGCCUGAUGCAGCGACGCCGCGUGGGGGAUGACGGCCUUCGGGUUGUAAACUCCUUUCGCAAUCGACGAAGCCUUUUGGUGACGGUAGGUUGAGAAGAAGCACCGGCUAACUACGUG
This 468-nucleotide ribosomal RNA is filed under the name uncultured bacterium. RNAcentral describes it as "partial 16S ribosomal RNA". It matches the Rfam family "Bacterial small subunit ribosomal RNA", at positions 28 to 507 of the family's 1533-position model. The record is from RNAcentral.